Molecule: non-coding RNA, 2363 nt
Organism: Coturnix japonica (Japanese quail)
Lineage: Eukaryota; Metazoa; Chordata; Aves; Galliformes; Phasianidae
Source: RefSeq, a predicted model, not a curated record
UCCCUUAUCUUCCCAAACCUCUCACCUUCAUCCAACCUGUGCCAAGUUCAUGCCAGCCUGCAUAGGACAAGAGAUCAUGCCUGCCUGGGCUGCAUUGUCUGCAGGACAGCAAAUGCUCUAGGACAAUCACUCAAACAUCUCCGUGCUGUAACUGACAUGGAUCCUCGAUGUCCUAGGCUCUCUUGGGGUCUUCCGCAAGAGUUGGGAUGUGCUCAAGGAGGGACAGGCGCUGCAGAGGGAAGCUGGCUUACAGUCAGCCAGUCUAUCUCCCUGCACAGCUACAGCUACUUCAGGUGCCACAAAUACAAGACCAAAUCUGAAGCUCUUUGGAGAUUCUGGGAAUUACCUUCCUCCAUUUCUAAGAAUGGUACUUGGGGCAGGAAAGAAACCUAGAAAACUGCCUUCCUGAAGUAAAUACAGCAGACACAAGGCUCUGCAUGGAGAUCAGAGCUUGCACACAUUCAAGCAGUGGCUUGAAUGUCAGGAUGUCCUGACAGGGUGCCUUCCUUGAUGGAACUUCCUUGGCACAAGGAAGCCACACCUUGGUGGCUUUGGAAUCCACCAUGACUAUGACAUCACAACCAGUAGGACCUACACGUCUACUCUCUGCUGUCAAAAGCUUGAGAUGACUGUGGUUUGGUGAGCUGCGAGUAUGAAGCCUAUUUGCUGCUUCCUGAAGAUCUCAGCCACUGGAGGGGGACAGAGCACCUUGCUGCACAGGGAAAGCCCUCACAGCUCUGACGUAGAAGAGUGAUGCCCAGCCUUGGUCUGUUCCUGCCCUUUUUCCAGUUCCAGCCUGGGUGUUGGAGGCUGCAGUCCCAUGUGAUGUCACACUGGAAACACUGUGUCCUCUGAGCACCACCUCACAAAGCCGCCUGCUGCUGACCCAUUACUCCCAUUCCUGAUGAAGUGAAAGGAUGCAGGGAUGAAGUCACUCUUACUCAGCCUUGUGAUCUCAGUUAAACAAGCAUUCAGAACUCGGAGCCGUACUGGUGCUGAACUGGAUUGCAUAAUUCAGGCUUCAGGAGCUGCUGUGUGGGUGUGUGUGUACUCUCUGCGCAGGAAGGAGCACAGAGAGUUCCUUGUAGUAGCCUUUGUUUCAAGGCUCUGGAGAACAUCUUAAAAGCCUGUCCCUCUCUUAUGUCAGCUGUAACUUCCUUUGCACUGGAACACACGCAGUGAGUGGGAGAGGUAAUGACAGAGGAAGGAGAAAGUACUCACAAUAUAAACAUACAUUCACCUUGCACAGAUAGCAGAAGAGAGCCCAGCAAAUGGCCCUUCCAGGAAAGGAAUCUCCUUCCAACCUGGUGUGUCUGCGAGGGGACGACCGAGAACACUGUUUUCUGCAGGGCCAUCUGAUGCUGUCUGCGAUGCUGCACGUGUUUACUGCAGCAUGGUGUGGCUCUGGGAAUUGCAGCACAAAAAUGUCCAAUGUGUUUGGCUUAUUUCUCAGAACGCUGUGACUUGGAAAACUCAGGCUGGCCUAUCUUUUCUUCCAAACAUCCAAGCAAUUUGCUUGGUAAUGUCAUUCUGCAGAUAGUUUUGAUUUCUGACUUUUCCAAUUAAUUCUGGGAGAAAGCAGAGGUCCUGGAAUUCCCCACAAAGCAGAAUUUCUGUUUUUCCACCGGCUUGACGCAGCAAGAAUUUCUGCCACAGGAAUUUGGCCAUAAGUACUGAUACCAGCCAGGCAGUUUGAAUCUCUCUAGAUGGUGAAAGCAAGAGAGAAGUAUCUCAUAAAUCAUCAUGUCAUUGCUAUUUCGUACUCAAGAGGGGAGAAGAUCAUCUCACCUUCCUUUCUGUUCUCUCAUGUGUGUUUCCAGGUGAAGCAGAUGGGUGUUCAAGAUCUGCAGAGGAUGUGAAUGGCCAGAGCUGUUGGAGCUGUGCUCUGUGAAUUGCUCCUUGCACACAGCUUCCCCUUUUGUUUCUCUUUAUGAAUGAGCUCAGUUUUUACAACACAGAUUUUUGGUUGUAGUUACAGAUAGAACUCAGCUUUUUUAUUAUAUGUGAAUAACUGGCCUUCAGAAAUCAUAUUUUUUCAGGUCUGAUUUGUGUUUCUGAAUUCAAGUAUGGUGUGGAGAGAGUGGGGAUAAGAGGCAGAGAAAUGCUCCAGUGCCAGUGCAGCAGAUGUGGCAGAAUGGCUGACACGAAAGGCCUUGUCCUGAGCUACCACUGAGAACAGCUGGGCACGGUCUGGUCUGUCCUCACAUGGAUGGGACGAAAGGAACACCCUGGAGGUGUUCAGGAGCCGUGUGGAUGUGGCACUGAGGAGCAUGGAUUAGUGGGCAUGGUGGGGGUGGGCUGGUGAUUGGUUAAGAUGAUAUUAGAUGUCUUUUCCUACCAUAAUUAAUGACUCUAUGAUUCUA